Long non-coding RNA from Numida meleagris (helmeted guineafowl), 12408 nucleotides. RefSeq lists it as uncharacterized. The record is from RefSeq and is a predicted model, not a curated record. NCBI's taxonomy places the organism in Eukaryota, Metazoa, Chordata, Aves, Galliformes, Numididae. The transcript has 3 exons.
GUUUCUGUGGCCCUUCUCUGGACACACUCCAACAGGUCUAUGUCCCUCCUGUGCUGAGGACUCCACAUCUGGACGCAGUACUCCAGGUGAGGCCCCACCAGCGCAGAGUAGAGGGGCAGCUUUGGAAAUCUGCUGCAAUAAGAUUCCCCUACCUUUUUUAGCAAAGUGGAUUUGCAGAAGCCUUCAGGGCCACUUUUGUGAGUGUUUUGGCUGAGGGCACAGGUUACAAAACCUGGGUCUUUCUGGUAUGUGCAACUGGCUGGGAGUGAUGUUGGAAAGAGGAGAUGCAUCGAUAAUGGGUGGCCUUUUGGAUGUCUGUUAACAAGUAAUGACACAUUGUGUCUGUAACAGCCUGGUGGCUUUGGGGAUGCACUUCAGCAGUCCAUUUUCACUAGGCUGAGUUGGCAUUUUUGGAGGUGAUUGGAGAAGGCAGGUGUUUCUGUAAGAGAAUGUUGUGAUGGGUGCAGUUGGGAUCAGAGUCUUGUUGUCCAGCUGUUUGGUGAGGGUGCGUGGGAGGAGGUGUCCCUGUGACUGUAUUUUUAGGUACUGCAGGUGUUUCCUGUACCUCCAGAGAUGUUUAGUUCACUCUGGCCCAGAAUGGGAGGACUUUGUUCUGCUGCUGUUUCAGGUGAAUUUGCAAGACCCUUGCUGUGCAGCUGUUUUUCCUCUGCCUGUGACCUCUUCUGUGUGUCCUAGAAAGGACUGCAUCAGCAGAAGGCUCACGCAGUCCUGCAGGAACCUCUCUUCUGUCUUUGAUGGCUUGCCCUGCUGCUUCUGCUAAUAACCAUUUUCUUCAGUACAAUUCUGAUUUGCCUGUAACUUGUGUUAUUGCUCAUUUGGUGCAGGCCUGUGUUAUUAUUUCUGCUGGUCCCAGCUCGUUUCUGCAUUACCGAGGUAAUUCUCAGCCCUUCCCGGUGAAGUCCCUGUUUCUCCCCAGGGGUGUGUGGCGCUGCCGGCUGUAGCUCUGCUGAUGGAGCCUCUGGGGCUCAGAAGCACUUUGUGCGUCAUCCUAACAAGUUGUUCACAACUCUGGGCAUGGGGCUUCCGAUUCAGCUGCUGAGAAGACUUUGAUAAAGAAGAAAGGAUUGUUUUUGUUUUUUUUUUUUCCUGACGGCUGCAAAUGAAAAAGCUUUCCACUUGGGAGUCGUGGGUCAUAUUUAUGGAAAUGCGGAGAGCAGUUGCAAUAUUUAUAGCGGUUACAGAAGCGAUUGAAUCUAUCUUUUAUUGAUACAUAUUUACAUGCCCACAGAAAUCCUAUUGCACAGUAGCUGAGAGAAUUUUAUUUAGAUUUAGUAUUUUGAAGUAAUUUUUUAGUGCUUCUCUAUUAUCCGAGGAGUGCGAGAUUCAAUAUUUCAAGUGGAACUGUCACCAAACAGCCGGAGGUUUUUAAAAGAUUUUUAUUUUACAUAAAGAUAAAUGUUGAAGACACAUUUUUCAGAGACACCAUCUGUUCCAUGUUGACCUUAAUUUUCUGGAUGAGUGCUUUUCUUCAAACGUUUUAAGUCUUGUCUACAUUUCAUUUGGUUGGGAGUGUUUAGGAUAUUUGUUGAACAGGAAAUCAGAUAUUCAGAAUGCAAACACACCAUUACAUUGCAAAUUAUUGCCUUUGUAUAAUUUAGCAAACUGCUGGGUAAAUAGUUCUGCAGACUGAUGUGUGCAGCGCUGCCUCUGACAUCUGGCAGGUUGGCCUUUGGUGGGGCUGCAUUUCAUAGAAUCACAGAAUCUUUCGAGUUGGAAGGGACCCUUGCUGUCUUCAGAAAAUACUUAAUGUUGGUAGCAUCAUCAUAGAAUGAGGGGUUUUAAACCAUUUGAUUGUGUGCUCAUUACGUUUCUGUUGAUAGUUCUGCAGCAAGAGGUCUGUUACACUUUGUACAAAUAAUUGUUUUGAGGCAAAACGUCUAACUUUUAUGUGAUUUAAAGAAGAUAUUCUUUAAAUACUUCUUUUGCUUGAAUAUGGUCAUUUCUGUGCAGCAGGAGUAAGUGUAUGUAAGGUGACAAGAAGUAUUUUGAUCUGCUGGGUUGCAAGUUAAAUAUGAAGUCAUUGUAGAGCUAUUUGGAAGACGCAACUCUGUUUCUUAAGUUGGUAAGAGAGAGCUGAAAGCAAAAUGCUUAUCCAUGUGAAUAUCUGAACUGCCUUGAGGUGGCAGUAGAUAGAACAUUUAUUGUAAACGUCUGGGGCUAGGGGAGGAUGCUGCUUUCUGCUGGCCCAUAGGAGAGGUCAGCACAAGCAGGGUGGCUACAGGAAAAGCAAGGUGGGUUUCGAGAUUUUUUUUCAAAUUCACUGUUUUGUUUGAAUCUGUAGUUCCCAUAAAGCGUGCUCCACUCGAAGGAAGUUGCAACAAACGUGCAUGUUGAAAAACAGAACAGCAUUUUGCCUCAUUAGAGACUACUAAUCCCAGAUAAUCUCUGGAUUGUAACUAAUUGAUGUAGCUACACCUAAAUAUUGAGUUAGCUACAGGUGAGAAGGAGCUUAUUUUUAAUGAGUUUUUUUGGUCUGAUGGAAAUGAAUGGAUUCCCCAUACGCUCUGUCCUUUCAUCCAGAAUUUCCUCACCAAGAACUGGAUACUGUAGGGAUACAGACUGGUUCUGCUGUGCCAUAAAUUCUUUGCUCCCUCGCCUGGGUGCGUUAGCCCUUGGGGUCCUUCAACCAAAUUCUGAAAGAGAAAGAAGUCCCUUUGUCUGGUCUCAAAGAGAGACCAAAGAGCACGGUGUUACAAUUUGAAGCCAAAUGUAGUCCUAAACGUCACUUAUUGGCUCAUCCAAAUGCAGACAAAUAGUUUUCACACUUGAUUAUGAACAUACCACUGUUUAAUUGUCAUCUGCUUAUUCUAUUGUAUUGUAUAUACGUGUAUCUAUGUAUGGUUAUUGUAUAUAGUCUAUAUAUACAGUUUUUUCCCCCUCCAAGGUAAAAUGAAGAUCUUCUGAUUAACAGCUACAGGAAAAUGGGACUGAUUUAUCUGAGAGCUGCUUUUUUGCCAAGCACUCUAUGAUAACAAAAGUACUGUUCGUUAUGACAUUGUACUGAGUCACUUGUUGAUGCUAUUUGAGGGAGAGAAUUUGGUUAAGAAACUGGAACAGGAUGUUCAUUUUAUUUCAGUCCUUGUAAUCCUGAGUCAUCUCUGAUAGCUGAUGAAAUACAGAAACUCACAUUUUAGACAGGGCUUCUCUUAACAUAAUUUUGGGAUGCUGUAAUUUGAUAGAGGGUGGAAAAAUACACAAAGCUGAUUUUAUGCAGGGAGGUUUAUUUUAGUUGUCACUCUCUGCUGAAGCACUCUUAAACUUUGUACAUCUGCAGCAUUUUGCCAUGCCUUUAAGUAUUUUGUUGGUGGGUUGCAACACGAGUUGAUGUGUAUAUGGCACACAGUUGUGCAGGUAUUUGGGUUUUGAGAACACUGUUUCCACUAUGCGCUUUCUGGCUGGUUUAGGAGAUCAUCAGAUGGCUUCUGGGUUGGUCCCAAGGUAGGCAGCGUGGGGCUUCCAGUUGCAUGCAUGUGAAGCAAAGGGAAAAGGCUGAAUUCACAUUUUAAGUGCAAUUUUGGAUAUAAUCUUAUCAAAGCCUGUGAAUUUGCAGGACUGUUAUUAUCCAGAUGACUAUCAGAUUAGUAUGAUGUAUUAGAUCCAUAAUGCUAUCUCCUGUAGAAUGUAUUGAUGCUGAUAAGAUCCUGAAGCUGAGCCUAUCUUCUCGCUGGAGCACAGAGACCUUCCAAAAUAAUUUGUGUGCAUCCCUUCAGCUUCACUUCAGGGUGGCAAGCAGCAAAUCUUUAGCAGUCCAUCUUACUUAUGGGCAGAAAAUAAAGAAUAUUGACUCUGUUUAAAGCUGUGGGAAGAAUUCAUGUAGGAAGAACAGAAUUAUUGGGUCUGGAGUCCAACUAGAAUGGACACUGCUGCUUCAAGAUGUGUGUGGACCAUGUGAGAGUACCUAUGAAGGCUCCUUCCCCACUUAGUAGAAAAGCAGAAUGAGUUUGGGGAAUGGAGGUAAAACUGUACAUUUAAAUCAUCUGCAGCCAAGCAGUGUAAUUCAUUCAUCCCUUCUAGCACUGUUGCUAAUUUAUAUUUAAAGCAAUGUGAAUUUCAUGAGCAUUUUAAAAAAUCAUAUUUUAAAUUCAAUUUGCUGUCAACUCAUUUGAUGUUUUAUGUAAAGUCAUUUCCCAUAAACAGAUUACUGAAUAUCAAAAGACUUCUCAUGCAUAAUUUUUUGAAGGAAAUAAUAUUAUAAUAGAGAUGCGAGCCUGGCCCUCCUGAGUCAGGAGCAGUGCUGGGAUGGCACUGCUCCUUGGUGCUUCCCUUACUGCAGUCAGGGAGUGUCCUGGGCAAGUGGCAUUCGAGAGGUGUGCAGCAGUAAUAACAGUGUUUUCUAGUCUGCAGCAGGUUGUUUUGCAAUGAACUGGUGAUAGAUAAUAUAUGAAGAAAAGUCAUCAGCAGGUUCUUUUCCAGAUAUCAGAAAGAGAGUUGGAAGAAAAUGGACUGAAAUACCUCAAAUGCAACAGACCUUUCAAGUUGCACAGCUCACACAGAGCGUAACGGACUGGGUAAUAUUAAGAGAGAUGUUAAAAAACUAAGGCACGUUUGUUAAAAACUGUUGAAGAAAUAACUGCUGUAUUUUCUUGGCACGGGAUUCUUGCUUGUGCCUGGAGAUUGCUGUCAUCUGGAAGGUGCAGCGCUAUGUGAAACGCCAUCAGAGCUGCCACGGAGCUGAAUCCUUCGCAAAAAGAAAGUAAUUGGUCUCUGGGUAACACCAAUUUCUCUUCCAGGUGCUGAGCAGUGUGCCCUGGUUGUGAGCACAUAGCGUGCAGGUAAGCAGCUUGGGCUCUCACAGUGAUUUGAUGGAUUCCUAACACAGCACAUCAGGUUAGGAAGGUUGCUGCAAUAGCUUUUUAUUUAUUUAUCUGUUAUUUGAACUGGCUCCAUUGCAGAAGUGGGCUUCUCCCUUUCUUUGAAAACUGUUAAAGGAGAGAAAUAUCAAGCCUCCUGGUUUUCCCAAACCCAUGUGUUGUGGGUUUUGGUUUUUUUUUUCCAGCUUCUGAGUGCCCUGGAAAUUUUUUUGUUGUUAUUUCAAAUAGAGAAGAAAUCUUUACCUCAUCGCUAAGUGACAAAAUGCUCUCAAAAUGGAGUUUCCAAGCUUGGGGCAAGUCAUAUGAAGCCCCUGAAGUGGUUCUGAGCAGCCCCCACCCCAGUUAUCUUCCUUCUUUCAGCUGAGCAGUGCUGUCUAACCCAGGGUGGCCAGAGUUUGCUCCCAUUUUUGGUGUUCUUUCAGCUUUUUAAGGGCCUGGGGCUUGCAUGGAGGUUUCUAGAAGGAGUUUUGUGGAAGGCGCAGGGAUGGAUGAGGUUGGCCUUGUUUUUAGGUGCUGGGACUUGGCAGCAUGAGGGACCACAGUGAUCCACGGCCGGGGCCCACCUCGGGUGGUCUCCAAGGUUGUGCCAGGUGCAGGGUGUGGCCUUCCCCAUCCCAUCGCUCUGGCCUGGGGCUGAAGGGUAGGUUGGGCACUUGGUGUCAUAGCCAUUUCUCCUUCUCCUCAUUCCUUGGGUCAGUUUUGUGGCAAAAAUUAAAGGCAUCCCAGAGCAUCGUAGGCAUCUGGGUCUUGCCUGAACUCGGCCUGGGGUUGGUUCCUGGUUCUGUGUGGGACAAACCUUGCCACAAGCCCCAUGUGUCUUUGAGCUCAGUCUGCAAGCGUGUAGCAUCUCCUGCACCAGGGGGAGACAUGAUGGCUCAGUGUGCCGAUAGGUGGUGUGAGAUUGCUGCAGUUUCUGGGAAUCUGGAGCUUUUUUUUCUUUAAGGAUUGCAGUGCAGCUAAUAGUGGGAUCAGAGGAAUGAAAGCUCAGUGCUGUGCCAGCUGUAAGUAACAGCUGAAUCAGAAUUCAACAGGGCUGCCCCAGCCCCUAGUGACACAGCCAUAGUUUGUCAUUUGGAGCUAAGCAAAUAAUAAUAAUAAAAAAAUGUAAAAUGAAGCAGGGAGGUCCAGUAAAUCCUUGCAGACUAAAUCUGCAAUUGCAGUCUGCUGAUCAGAACGUGGGGUGUCCUAUAGAGCUUGCAGGCAGGUUGUGCUGCAGCUCUGGGAAAUCUGAACAACCUGGUGAGAAACUGUUCCUUUUGGAAGAGAUGUGAAAUAUUACUGAACUGUGUAAGGGUGGUGAGGUACUGGAACAGGCUGCCCAGGGAGGUGGGGGACGCCUCAUCCCUGGAGAUAUUCAGGGUCAGACUGGGUGGUGGCUCUGAGCACCCUGAUUGAGCUGCGGGUGUCCCUGUUCAUUGCAGAGGAGUUGGACUAGAUGGUCUUUAGAGGCCCCUUUCAACUCAAAUGAUCCUGUGAAAUUUAUUCUAUGUUAAUACUUGGUCCAGAUCACUCUGGAUAACUGCAUGCAAGUCUGCCCCACAGCAGAACACACCUCUCUGCCCUCCAGUGUUUAAUGCAGAGAGGCUGCGAAGCCAAGGAGAGCAACAUAAGAAGUGCAGCCUGUGUGCAGACGUAUUUUCUAAACGGGUUUGUGUCCAUGUGCUGCAGCUGGCAGUUGUCUUGCUCACAGCUGUUCAGGGAAUGACAAUUUCUCUUUGUUGCAGCUUUCAGGUUUUUAACUGUGUCUGUUUCAUAUAGAAACAAUGACAAAAAGCAUCUUCAGGGCUGUUUUCAUCAAAACAGAAACAUCUGGUUGAGGAUAACUGGGUUCUGACAGCUUUUCAGCAGUGUGGUUGCUGAUUGACCCAAGCCCCGACAGGUAGUGCAGCAGAGGAGCAGGCCUCACCAAUGUCUCCAGGCUGCGUGCCCGGCAGCACGCUGCUCUCAUCAGUCAGGGGCUGGGGCACGAUGGCACUCAGCAUGAGACGCAAGGUGACAGUGCUGCACUGAGGCCUCUUGUGCUAAUCCUUGCUUAAUGCGGUGAUGCUGCCGUUGUUAGUGGCUGUUGCUGGACAGGAUUAAGGAAGAAAAACCUGUGAGAUUGGUUACGUGUUAUCUCUCUGUAUCUUUUAAUCUCUUGUGUGGUAUGGCCUGAUGUUUUCAAGUCUUCCUUUUGAAAUGGCAGAUAGAAACAUAUUGCUGCUGUCUGGAACCUUUAAUCUUCAAAUGGAAAUAAGCUUUCCUUGCAGAAGCAGGCUGCUUUUUCAGAUGCUCUCAGAAGUGCUGAUGUUGUGCCUUGGUUGAUCUGGCUAAUUAAAAAUGAGAUCCUGUCAAUCAAAACUAUUACUUUAAUGGUAAUGGCAAAAAUGAAAAGUGCAAGUAAACCAGUGUUAGAGAAAAAUGUGCCUCACUUCCUCCGUCUGAUUUAUGCAGGAAGAAUUUAGGCUUUUAUUGUGAGUCUUGAUAUCCACAGACUCUUCCAUUACAGACCUGUACUGUUUUAGUUACUGUUGGCUGCCCAGAUUAUCUUUGUCAGUUUAUUCCAAGCACGUCAUUACUUGCCUGUGUUUGGGGAGGUCACUGCGAGCUCUGUGCUCCAGCCUGCUAAAGCUGCUGGGCUGAGCUCAGCUACCUUUGGGACAUCUCUGGAUAUUAAGGAAAAAUUAUUCUUGGAAAGAGUGAUGAUGUUUGGAAUGGGCUGCCCAGGGAGGUGGUGGAGUCACCGUUCCUGGAGGUGUACAAGAAACAUGUAGGUGUGGCACUGAGGGACACGGUUAGUGGGCAUGGUGGGGAUGGCUUGAUGGUUGGACUCGAUCUUUGAGGUCUUUUCCAACCUUAAUGAUUUUAUGAUUCUAUUCUAUGAAUACAGAAUUUGACUUGGAGGUGUGUGCUUGAACACUUAAGUGUGCUUAUGGUCAAGGUGUGAAAGUUCUACAUGUGCAGGUGCUGCUGACUCCUGCCACUUGCUCACACGCCCGUUUUCCACAAAGGCACAAAAUGAUACAAAACUGCCUUUAUGUAUUAAAUUUCUGAAACGUCAGUACAAAGACUCCAAGUGCCUUAGUGAUUAAUUAGACACAAAAUGGCAAACAUGACCAUCUAGCAACAAAAUUGAAUUGUAUGCAAAUAGUGCAUGAACUCAACCAGUCCUCCACAGCAGCCCUCCAGUUUCUUCCCCAUCUCUACUUUAGCCAUUGGAAGGUAGCAGGGGUGUGACUGAUCCUGCGUGUGCUUAUGGCAGAGCCUUUUGCCUUCCCCAGGCGGGAGGCUCAAAGAAAGUAUCUGCUCAGGUAUUCCUGUGCUCCUACACCCCUAAUUACAACCUCAUGACUUAAUCAUAAGCUGCCUUUAGCUCAGGUCUGCUUGUAACAUCUUCCUCUUUUCUGCUUUUGACGCGUGGGCUUUCCCUUUAAUGUCUCGGUUGUUCAGUUCUGCGGUGAGUGAUGGGACUGAAAUACCUGCCGACAAGCAAAGGAUCUUACAAAUUCCUUUUGAAAUACACCUGAAAAUUGCAAAUUCAGUUCUCAGAUGCAAAAUCCAAUCACUUGCCACCCAAGGCAUGCAACCUGGCAUGGGCUUCCUGCACAAACAGGUGAGCAGUACAGGUAUAACACGCAGCUUUUGUGUUUAAGGCUCUCUGCGCCCCUGAAUUUGGGCCUAUUUUCUUACCAAGGAGUCUUAAGAUAGUCAGUAUUUUCCUUAAGGCUCAAUCUUCCAGUCCUGUGAUUAUGAGAAACUGCUUUCAUUAACUAAAAUUGGCCUGAAAGCAUGAGAGCAAUCAACUGGUAGAUGCUGCUGGCUUGAAAACUGCAAGACGAAGACAUGUACCCCUAAAUUUUAAGGCCUUUUGGCUUUACAGGUCAUGAUUUCUUUCCGGGAAACCAUGGUGAUAAUUUCAGUGUGCUACUGACCACUGUUCACAGAUGGCUUUUGUUUUUAAGGUAGCACCUGAAAGAUUUUUUCCCCUUGGUUUUGCUUCUUCAGGACAUAUCUCGCUAUGAGCUACCUGGUCGAUUUGAUUUGGAAAAUAUAUUUUUUUUUAUGUAUGAUUUUUUGUAUUUGAAAUACUGUUUUUUUUCUUUGACUGGUAGAUUGGGAUCCUUAGCCAGCCCUCUCUGAACACAGCUGAGAUGUGUAUGCUGAGGAGAGCAUGGCUUGCUGACAAAUCCCUCACCAGGCUGUUUGCAGUCAUCUGCUUCUGGUCGCAUCACCAACACCCACACUGAGGUCCUUUGUCCUUUGGGUGAUGUGAAUGUGCAAAGAACAAAUGAAAAUCUUAAGCAUCCGUUGUUAUGUCCCCCCACAGAUGUGACUUUUUCAUAGCGAGAAAAGAGAAUGUGUCCAAGUGGAGAAGAAAACAUGCGUUUGGGAACUGGGAACCUUGGGAGCAGCGUGUUUGUACUGUGCUCUUAGCCAGUGCUGGGGACUUUCCGGAGUCCCCUUAUAGGCCCUUUGCAGCACGCAGUACUUCUGUCGUUCUGCUGCGUAUGGUGAGUUCACCUGGUUCAGAUCUACGCACGUACCAACGUCAUGAGGAGGAGCUGCUGCUGCCGGGUGCUUCCAGGACAUUGCAAGCUUGCUGUGGAGGUGCCAGCGUUUAUGAACAACCUCCUCGCCCUUGCCAGCAUGAUCCUGCCUUGGCUCGGCUGCCUUCAUUGGGUUUCUGUAGCACGGCCGGGCUCGCUUUGCCCUCCUGUGGCUGACAGAGGAUGUUCAAGACGGCUCUAUCCCUGUGCAUCAGUGCCCUGCAUGGCCGGAGUUGGCUCGGACUUUGCCCUCUGCUCAAAACAGCUCCGUGGUGGUUGCAGUCAGUAUUUAGGAUUGCUUUUAAGGAUCUGAGAAGAAAUGUGCAAGUGCUCUGCACGCAAGCUGUUGCUAAUGCCAGGAGUAUCAGCGAAGUCAAAAGUGGUGCCUUCCUCUGGCUGUGACCGGCUCUUCCCGAGAACCUCCCACAGAUCAUCAUCCCAUCCACUGCAUAUGCUGCGAAGGAGUAUGGCAGCCACACUGAGUAGCGCAUGACUCUGCAGCCUGAGGGAGCAGGUGGAUGUGUGCCUGAUGCUGCAGCAGGGAAGUGCUUUGGUUUGGAUUUGUGUUGGAUUUGCCAUACUGCAUGUAGCAAGAGGCCCUCAAGAAGGGGAGGUAGCAUUUUUCUGUGCCUACAGCAGUCCAUGCUGCUAGGUGCUGUUGUAAUGCCUAAAUGAUUACUAGCCUCAAGCUUGUUUUGCUCUGUAAAUAGUUAUUUCUGUCAGAACAUGACUAAUGCUCCUAAAAGCAGCACGAGCUCCACCUCCACCUCCUUCCCACCCAUGCUCCUCGGACCAGCAUGUCCCAAAGGGGCUCGGGCUGCAGGAGGAGGAGGACGCUGCUGGCCACCCAUCUACAUGUCCUGUACAGGCUGCAGUGUCUGUGGCUUGGCCACCUCAUCCUGCUGCUCCAGCUGGAUCGAGUCCCAGGGGCCAUGUGAGACAUUUCUGUCAUUAAUCAAUAUAAGAGUAACUAAUAUGGAAUCACAGAAUCAUUAAAGUUGGAAGAGACCUGCAAGAUCAUCUAGUUCAGCCAUCCAACUACCGCCAAUACUACCCACUAAAACACGUCCCUGAGUACCACAUCUACACAUUCCUUGAACACCUCCAGGGAAGGUGACUCCACCACGUCCCUGGGCAGCCCGUUCCAGUGCCUGACCACUCUUUAGGAGAAGCAGCUUUGCCUACUAUCCAACUCGAACCUCCCAAAUGAGAGCAUUCAUGGUGCUGCUCUUCGUGAUGAAGCAUUCACCAAGAGCAGCAUCUGAAAUGGGUUUGAGUAUCAGGAUGCUCGAUCCCAGGCUGUAACUCUGUCAUAUUGUUUCUGGCCUAUUCACUAGGAAACAUGACAUUUUACUGAAAAGUUAAACACGGGCCUUUUUUUUAUCUUGAAUUUUGCUUCUACAGCUGAAAGUAAAACAGCCCACCAAACCACCACCAAAAACCCAGUCAUGUGGCAGCACAAAAUAACAAUGCCAAAGCUUAACAAGGAUUUUUGAAACAGUCAUUUCAGUGUUUUGCUAAAUUGCUGUGUCAUUUGUAAUAACUUCAGCAUCCCCAAACACUUGGAUACAGUGCCAUUAAAAUAUGCUACCAAUUACCACAAAUAUAUGCAAACUAGGAGCAAUGCAGACAGUCUAGGCAGAGAAAACUUCUGUUUUGAUUUUAUUUUCUGAGCUCGUUCCUAAGCUGAAAAAGUGGGUCCUAAUAAGAAAGGUGCUGUGUGAAGUUUGUUUUCAUUCUGAGUUGAAAAGAAGCCUCUCCAAACUGAAGAGAAGUCGCACCCAACCAGCUUUACCUUUGUUUUUAAAGAAAUCUGACAUCAGUACGGCCUCAAUGACUUCUCCUUCCUUGUAUUGUUUUUCUUUGGAAAAGCAGAAACCCCAGCCAGCCUACUCUUUUCCCUCCCUCCAGUUACCCCAUGUUGGCUAGAACUCCUCUAGCCCCAGCAGAGCCCACAGGGAGGCUGCUUGUGCUCCUGGCAAGCGCCCACCUUCCUGCCGGCCACAUCCUCCCAGUGGAAAAUCCCAUCUCCUGCCCAGAGAGAGCCCUGGGCACGCCCUGGAGCACCCCAGUCAUUGCCUUCAUUGAGCUAAACAGCAGCCUGCCUUUCCUACCACUUGUGUUCUGCACCCACUGUAGGUCAGUGAUGUUCACUCCCCGCCAGAACAUGGUCAGCGACAUCCUUGUGACAGAGACUGUGUUUUAGGACCCAGCAUUAUGCAAGGGCUCUGACUUUAAUGGAUGUAAGCAGUCCCUAACUUUGCAGGGCUGGUUAGUGGCAGAAAGCAAGCUGUCAGGAUGCUGCUUCAUCCUCCAAAUUCCUCCUGGGGAGGUUUCCUUCACCCACAGCCUGCAGUUAUUGUGAUAGCAAUGGGGUCCCACCUGCAUAGCACACACAGCUGUCUUCAGUCUACGAGCUAUGCCUUCUUAAAAUGCUAGAAGUUGGGUUUCCUGAAGGGAAAACACUGAACACCUUGUAAUAUACGUCAUGAAAUCUCCUUUCCCCUGCUCAAGUGCACCUUCCCCUUGGGAUGCCGUCAAGAUGUGGGCCUGGAAGUGCUCAUUCUCAGCUAACAGGAGGUGCCCGUGCUCUAACUUACGGUGGCAGCUCCCAAAGCCCUCAGAGAAGCACAGCAACAUGCAUCUUCCCAUUUAGCUCUUCAUAGAAUAAUUUCCACAUUCCUUCUGGGGUGGAAACUAUGACAGCCCCUCCUCUCCUGGCCUCGCCACACACGCUGUCACGUGGGAGAACAAUAAGCAGAGCGGAGGGGGCUUCCUCUCCAUGAGGACGUGCCUGGGUGCUGGCCAGACCUGCCAAGUUUGUCAAAAUUAAGGGUUUGUUGUUUUUGUUUUUAAAAACAGAAUUCAGCUGUCCAAGGAGCAGAGAGAGCAAAUGAUGCCGUAAUACGCAGCCCACGAGCUCAGUGUAUGGAGCUGUGACAUACCCAAGCUGUAGCCCCACAUCUGCUCUCCAUCCCUAGUACAUUGUGAGAGGUGCUCCAGCCCUCUGAUCAUCUUCAUGGCUCUCCUCUGGACCUGCUCCAACAGCU